ACAAGCCCCUUGCUUGCAUAAAGUAUUUAAAACCGCCUUUGAGAAAAGCUGAGAAGCUGGUGUGAGCACUCGAGUAUCGACUGCUAAUUCUUUGGUUGAAUUAAUCCCGUGAAAUUUUCCCCAACAGUAUUCUGAUGAAAUACGCGAAUACCAGGCCUGCCAAAAAUACUAUCAGAACAAAGAGUUGAGAGCAUACGUCUGUUUAUUUGUGUGCUUUUUUGGACUCCCGCACACUCUUCCUUCGACUUGCCCCGAUUCUCUCUCCUUCGUCCACCCUCUGUCGCGCAUCAAUCAAACUGCUCAUUUCAUCAUCAUCAUCAUCAUAACCUGCCGGCCAGUACCACCACCAGCCAGAAACAAAUUUUCGUCUUCUUCCCUCUAUACAAAUUUUUGGGCGACGGGUUUUAGGGGCAGUCAAUCCCCACCCCCACCAAGUAGCAGUCGUCCUCCUCCUCCACCACUACAGAUUGGGCGACGGGUUUUAGGGGCAGUCAAUCCCAACCACCACCAAGUAGCGCUAUCGUUAGAUGCUUCAAAAGUUAGGGGUUUCAAGUUGCCAAAGGGGGAAUACACAUGGAACUGAAAACUAAGGUCAAAGACGGCAAGCUCGUGCCAAUGGACAACCACCACCACUACAAAGACGUGCCAGAAAAGUAUCAUCUGCGACUGUGCUCAAGAAAAUUGACCUGCUGAGGUCAAAAUACAAUCCACCACCCCAAGGGUAAUUUUCCCGUGUAGUGAAAGGGUCUUGAAAGACUGCUUAACGAGCAAUUAAAGGUGUAGGGAAGACACGACGGAGGAAAAUACGAGUUCAUCAGCCGACAGAUAUGCAAACAGGCACUCGUCGCCUGACCUGCAGAAACUUUUACACAAUUUUUUUGACAAAUCAGAAAAGUGAUUUUUUAGUGUCAUUGGACGAAGCACUAUUUUCCCUACAAGAUAAAAAUGGUCAACGCAAAAUUUACUACUCCAGAGACUACUAAAAAAUUCGAGAAGAUUACCUAUGCCACACAGGAGAACGUUUGUAAAAAAAUUAAGGCGGCUGGCGUGAAAUCAGGUAGUGUGGUCCUUCCACAUUUCAGAGUACCCCCAAAAGUGAAGGAAACUGCGAAGUUUACUUCGUUUUGAAGCCCUUUUUUUAACGCCACGUUCCAAAACUAACCGGCAAGGAGACCUGUAAGGUGAUCGUUUAUUAUUACGUCGCGUCAUCUGGUACUACAAAGUUGACCCAGGAUUAUGCGAAGGACUUGCAGGCUAGACUGCGGAUAAAAAUCAUUUCGAAUAAGGAAACCCAUGUCAAAUCACCUGACAUAAGCCCAAUGGACUCUUCGGCUUCGGAUAUCUGGAAAGAAAAUUUUUUCUCCGUCGACUUAAAAUUUUUCGUGGAGUGUGGAAAGUUCUAUGAAAUAAAAGAGGAGUUUGGCAAAGUCGACCAGGUCAAGAAAGGUUAUAGAAACAAAGUUUAUGCAGAGAUUCAAUACACAAAUUCUCAGCCGAAUCCAUGGAAAGAAACGUAUCGAAGAUUUUGAAAAUUUGGCCCCAAAUUCAUGAACCAUUAACAUCUUCGUGUUUUCCAAAAUACUAAUGGGCUUAGGAGCUUGGAUUGUCUAUUGCAUUACUGUAUUUCAUCUAAUCGUUACAGUGCAACUGUAUAUACCAUGAUUUAUUUUCGUUAUCUAGCUGUUUUUUAAAUGCAUGUUCUUAAACUCAUUUGGAAAUGGUGCCAAUCAUGGUUUACAUUUUCUUCCGUUUUUUACGGAUUUUAUUUUCGACCAUAAUUUUCCUUGAAACCCGCUACUUUUCCUGCCAAGGUAAACUAAAAUUCGGACGACUCUAAGAUAAUCCUCGGUCAAGUAAACCAAUACUGCCAGCACUAACACCACACCAUGCCCGAUAAAUAAUAGUCCUACUGAUUCUAUAAGAUUAAUUAUCUUAAUUGAAAAGGUGUUCAACCGGUGCAGAUGAUGGGAGCUGUGUAUUGUACUAAUGAAAUAUUUCCUUAAUUGUCAGAAACGAAUCCAGCUCAUUUAAGUUUUUUAGAAAGUAAUUGAAAAAGUAAUUGAAAUCAAUUACGAUGUACUUAGAGUAUGUGGGUAAUUAAGUAUUCGUCGACUCAAUUACUUUCAAUACAAAAUGUACUUCAGUAUUAAAUAUGUGCUUUGAAACUGUUUUGCAAUAAUUGAAAUCAAUUACCAAUUACUUUGUUUUUGGUAAUUAAGUAAGUAAUGAAGUACAAAAAGUAAUUAAGUACGCAGCCCUGCCACCGAUUAGAGCAAAUAAUGCAAUUACAAAUGAACUUAAUUAAUCUAAAAUUACAUACAAUAUCAUGAAGAACAACUCUUUCUUCAUAAUCAACGAGUUAUGGUUUAGCGGUUUAGUUUAUUAGUCUGAGUUUCGGUACAGAAUAAUUAAUAAG
This is a long non-coding RNA of Folsomia candida, 2416 nucleotides long. RefSeq lists it as uncharacterized. NCBI's taxonomy places the organism in Eukaryota, Metazoa, Arthropoda, Collembola, Entomobryomorpha, Isotomidae. The transcript is spliced from 3 exons. The record is from RefSeq and is a predicted model, not a curated record.